Molecule: long non-coding RNA, 2455 nt
Filed under: Octopus sinensis (East Asian common octopus)
Lineage: Eukaryota; Metazoa; Mollusca; Cephalopoda; Octopoda; Octopodidae
Description: uncharacterized LOC118763571, transcript variant X2
Source: RNAcentral
UUUUCAAAAAUAAACAAUUACGGGAUAAAUUCAUAUUCUCCAUGCACAAAUUAAUUGUGAUGGAAACAGUAAUAAAUGCUGAAGGAAUGUGAGGCAAGCUUCUUUUAAAUGCUGACCAUGAAAUAGUUUUGUUCCUUGCUUGAAACUACUUCAUGCUAGAAACGUUUAUGAAAACAGCAUAAACAUUAUUGCAUUUACUUACUCCUUUGCUUAAAAUAUAGGGUCUUUUAUUUCUAAAUAUUUGUAACUUUUUCUAGUUAUCCAUUUCCUGAAAGGAAAUAUUAUCAUAGUAAAUAUAUUUGUUGAAACUCUAAUAAUGCUACAUAGAAUUUUUGAAGAAUAUAUAUGAGUUAGCAAUAUUCAAUUGCAAUGCAGUUAUAUCCUGAUAAAAAAUACUUUUAAAAGUACUCACCUUGUGGCAGACUCAAUAGCUUCUCAUCGUUUCAAGAAUAAGUACAAGGAAUAAUUCCAGAAAUUUCUAUUUUUCACUAAAAGAAAAAAAUAAUUAGCUUAUGCCUAGUCAAAAUUAGUCGUUAAUUCAACAUGUAACGUAAUACUUGUGUAAAAAAGAAAAAGGAAAACCAGACUGUCAUAUCUUCAGAUAAUCCCAUGAUGAAUAUUAAACUUUAUUAACAUGAACAAGAAAUACACCCAUCAACAGUAGUGCUUAUUAAUUACAUAAGAAUCAUUUGCUAAUUUUGUUGUAAGUUACAGCAUUUGAUCUACAGUUUGUGUAUUUGCGUGUGUGUGUGUAUGUAUUAUAAACACACUUUAUGCAUAUGUGUGAUGUAUAGGUAAUUCAAAUUUAUACAUUAUUGGAAAUAUGAAAUAUAGUUUCUUUUUAUAAAUGGAAUUGUAUUACCCAAGUUUUUCACUUACCAGUCCCAACACUAACAAGGGAGCUUCCAAGUGGUCACUUGACCUACUAGGAAUAACAACCAAAUUCCUUCAACUCUUACCCUACCAUCUUAAAACAGUAAUGUAAUCCUGGAUAUAAAAUGACAAGAUAGUCAAGGCUGGAAUGCCUUGUAACUUGUUGAGGGCUGACCAACCUUGGGUUAAAUAACUGGUAUCUGCUGGAAACAUAAAGAAAAAUAAACUUAUAUUGAUUCAUGACUCAAUUAAAACAGUUCAUGUCAAAUCUACAGGAUUGAAAGAUCUUUAAACUAAUGCAUAAAAAUAAUGUAACUGCUAUUCAAAAACAUAGCAACAACAGAUGGGGAAACAGACCAAUUUAAUAGACAAAACAAAAUGAAUUUCAAGUUUAAUGGUGCAUGCAAUAUAUAUAUAUAUAUACACACACCACACACACACAUAUAUAUAUAUAUAUUCAUAUGUGUGUAUACAUGUAUGUGUGUGUAUAAACUUUUAUUUUCUUCCCCAUCAAUUCCUGUAAGAUUUGGCAUUUAUCCCUCCCUACUUUCAGAAACUUCCAUUUGUAGCUAAAGAUUUCAACCAAAAUAGAAUUGCUAGCCCCUUCCCAAAUUUUUAUAUUACUACCACCUCAGUCUUAUGCAUGGAAAUAGGCAAUUUAUGUAUGUAUGAGUGUGAGUUUAUUUUUUACCUUUCAUAACUGGUAAAUAGCGUAUUUGUUGCUACAGUUCAAUUAUAUGUUUUCCUUGCCCAAAGUGUCACUUACCCAAGAGGUAGCCCAAUUAAAUACCAGCCCGCGCCCAGCUUGAUGUCGCUUAACUAUGGUGUUACAAGGAAAAAAAAAUUUAAUAAACUGUAAUAAAAAUGUUCUGGUAUUUAGUGUUACCAUUUGCUACUAAAUAUGGUUGUUACCAUUGCCAUUACAUGUGGUAAGGAAGAACGUGUCUGUUUUUAACAACUUGGAACACAAACAUGGUUGAAAAGGAAGAAAGAAUAUGCAGAAAAAAAUAACAAUAACACCAACAGAAAUGGACUAAAUGCACAUAUAGGCAUUUGUAAUAUUUUUUCCUUUUUUUUUCUUUCUUUCGUCUUUCCCUAAAUUCUGAAUGGCACAAGAUCCAGAUGAUAGGUUGGGUGGAGAAAAUGUGUUAAGUACUAAGUUCUGGUAUGAUUUCUGGAACAAGCCAUAUCCAUUCCAUCUUCCUAUUGUGCUCCUUUCCCAUUUUCAGCAAAUUACAAAAAUAGGAUUAAAAGACUUUUCCUAUUUUAAGUUUUUUUUAAUUAUUUAUUUAUUUAUAUGAACCAUUGCUUUUGAAAAAGAAAACAAAAAUUUGCAGGAAAAUAUUUCUUGCUUCAAUAAAAUAGAAAUGUGUUCUUAAUAAUUUAAGGGAUUAUUUUAAAAUGAGCUUAAAAAAAAUGUUUUUUUUACUUAUCAUCACCAUCGUCAUCAUCAUUAUUAUUAUCAUCAUCAAAAUGAUUUCUAUUAGCUGCAAUUUUGAAUUUUGUUGUAGAUAGAUUAUGGGAUCAUUACAAAGAUUUUUUUAAAUAGUAGCAAAAUUAAGGUAAAUUUAUUGCUUUAUUG